Molecule: long non-coding RNA, 5146 nt
Organism: Alexandromys fortis (reed vole)
Lineage: Eukaryota; Metazoa; Chordata; Mammalia; Rodentia; Cricetidae
Exons: 2
Source: RefSeq, a predicted model, not a curated record
AAACCAAAAAAAAAAAAAAAAAAAAAAAAAAAAAAUUGCAAUGUGUUUGCAUUCUGUUUUUUUCCAGUGAAUACAAGUAAAAAAAAAUCAUGUUUUCCAUAUCCCUUACAUUAUUAAACACUUCACGUAUUACAGGUGAAAAACCAAUUAUCCUAAGAACCCAUGUACAUUCUCGUCUAAGUAACUAAGUAACAGAAUGUGAGCGAACAGGGUACUUUUUCUCUGCCAAUCCUUUUGUUGGGUAGGCCGCAUAUGGCGGUUACAAAGAAAGAAUCGCCACUGCAUUAUUUAUCUUGAGAAGCUAUCUUGAAAGAAAUCUUAGAGGAAUCUCAAACCUAAACUUUUAUGCAUGAAAAACAAUCAGUCAGCUCUACUUUAAGUCUUUAGAAUAUAUACGUACUCAUCAACAGUUUGUAUAUCAGGAGACGGAGGGCGGAAAAGGGUAUAAGGAAUUAAUCAUCACCUUUGGUCAUCUGCCAGUCCUAUCAAGAAAGGUACACCAGCUUUGUUCUUGUUCCUUGACCUUAACAAGUUCCUCAUUCAACUACAUGACUUUCUGCAACUUUAGAUUGUUUACUUGGGCUUUUCACCUCAAAGCUGUUUAACAAAAAGCAUCUAAUCUAACCUUAAGUUAUUUUCAAAGCUUUGUUUCAGCUAUGAUGCACUCUAAAACCCGUGAACAUAUCUCCCAACACUAAGAUUAGAAGAACUUAAACUAGCUGGGCUACUGGGACUUAAUUAUUUUUCUUAAUCUUUUUUUUUUAUUUAUUAUGUACACAGUGGUUGUGCCUCCAUGUAAUCCUGCAGGCCAGAAGGCACCAGAUCUCAUUGUAGCUGGCUGUGAGCCACCAUGCGAUUGCUGGGAAUUGAACUCAGGACCUCUGGAAGAACAGUCAGUGUUCAUAAUCUCUGAGCCAUCUCUCCAGCCCCUAUUUUUCUUAAUCUUUAACCACAGUCUAUGGCUCCUCAAUAGAAACUCAUAUGUUCUAGCUGUGUGACACUUCCUUGUUUUAUUUUUUAUCUUCAAAACUUUACUUAAACUAACAUUAUUGUUAUCAAUUAGAUAGAACCGCUUAGGAAGAAAUCAUCUUCAUAUAAUCCACAGGUAGAAAUGCCCAGUAGAGUGCUCGCUUCGGCAGCACAUAUACUAAAAUUGGAACAAUACAGAGAAGAUUAGCAUGGCCCCUGCGCAAGGAUGACACGCAAAUUCGUGAAGCGUUCCAUAUUUUUAUAUGUCAAAAAAAAAAAAAAAAGAAAUGCCCAGUAGAAUGGGAUGCUUCCAGGAGACACAGGCAGUGGGAUCUCCCCACACCCACUUACACCAGAGCAGAUGCCAGAGGAAGAGGGCAGCAGCAAACGUGAAGGCCCGGCAGAAGCAAAGGACCUUGUCUACUUGAGAUUCACCCCUCAGGGAUUUUCCUCCUGAUGGCUGACACCUGAAGUGAGUUACUUUCCACUGCUACUCCUCUGACAUGGCCACCAGCAACAGGACCAGAGAGAUGGCUCAUGGGAAAAGGUACUGCUGCCAGGCCAAGGACCUAAGAUCAAUCCCAAGCACCCUCGUGAUAGAAGAGGACUCACACUCUGACCAUUCACACACACCAAGGCAGGAAAGUGUGUACAAACAGAUAAAUAACUAAGGAAGAAAAUCUUUUUAAAGAGUCUUUACAAUAUUCAUUUAUUUGUCAAAGCAACCCAACGUGGGUACAGUGUCGCCUGUGUAAGACAGGGAGACUAAGGUACACAGGAAUGAGUGAUUUGAGCUUACAUGGCUAGUAAGGGACAGAAUUGGGAGUCAAACCCAGUAGUCCCUAUCUCAGCCAUAAACCAUGUUGCUUUUUUGAGUAUUAAAAAUAUAUAUUUUACCAUGAGGCUCAUGGCUUGUUUCCUCACAUCUUGCUUCCCCAGCAGCUACUAGUGCCUCCCUUGACUGCCUUCUUUCUCCCUACAUCUGUUUGGAUUUCUUGCCUAGCUGUAUUCCACUCUACCCUAGACCAAAGCAGAUUCUUUAUUAACCAAUAGUAUUAAAAACAUAUUCACAGCACACAGAAAGGCCUCCCACAUCAUGUAGCCAUGUCUGGCUUUUUAUCUGGGCGGUAGACAGCUAAAUGCACACCCUCAUGAUGUUCUGUGAACUCUGACUCUUUGAGGUAGGAGGGCUGGCUACAGAGAGAGGACUUGAGUGUUGUCUGUGGACAUACUGUUGCAGCUUGCUGGUUGGCAGGGACCUUAAAACACCAUAGAGUUGUGGCAAUAAACAUGGCUACAGCUGGUACCUCUGCUGACAAGGCUGGAAAGCUAAGGAAUGAGCUGGAUCUAGCCGGCAAAGCCAUGGCUUUAAUCCUCUCCAUAAAGACUCAUGUAGUCAGAAAAAGAGAGAUAUACAGUAAAGAGAGAUUCAAAGACGAAGAAAACCUCGUAAUAGUUUACAGUGUGUUCAAAAUAUAUGGAGGCUAAAGGUUAAAGUCCUUAAAAAUAAAAAAGAGAGAGUAGUUGGGUGUGGGGGUAUACACCUUUAAUCCCAACACUUGGGAGGCAGAGGUAGAUUGACCUCUGUGACUUCAAGGUGUGGUAGCACACACUUUUAAUCCCAAUAUGGGAGGCAGAGACAGAUAGUUCUCUGUGAGUUCAAGGUGUUGUAGCACACACCUUUAAUCCCAGCACUGGGGAGGCAGAGACAGGCAGACCUCUGUGAGUUCAAGAACAGUCUGGUCUACAGAGUUACUCCAGGAACACAGAGAACCUGUCUCAAAAGCUAAAAGUAAAACUAAAAGAAAUAGAGGUUAAAAUAAAGCUGCAUAAAGAUGGAAAAUACACAGAGAAUCUUGAUACUGUAUGCUAUCAUGGUCUCUUUAAUGUUUGAAUGCUGAGGAAGGAACAGCUGAUAAAAGAUAUUUGCUUAUGAAUGCUGUUGAACUAUUUCAAGAUAGAUAUUUUAAAAAUACCUUGACUUCAAAAUUAAAGUCAAAAGGUAUGUUACUUUGGAGAAGAAAUUUUUCUUUUGUUUCCACAGGAAAUGAGAGGCUGUGGAUCAGCGCCCAAAGUGGGGCAUGAACCCAUGACCCUAAGAUUAAGAGUCUCAUGUUCUACCUACUGAGCUAGCUCUACCAUGUUGGACUGGGCAGGACAAGCCCGCAGUACCUGUUUUUGACCUAGGAAUGUCACAGCUUAGAUUCUUAAGUGCUUAGUGAUUUAAAACUACAAAGCAAAAAUGCUCAUGGAUAGUAAAAAAUUACAGAUUCACAAUAGGACAGAUUCAGACAUAAAAGACCUCUAAAUGGGUCAUAUUGUUAGAUAAAUGUAGGCUUGGGAGAGAAAGAAAAAGAGUAUAAAGAGUCAUAAAGUUAAUAUUAAAAAAGGGGUAAAGUCUUUAAAGAGACAGAGUACAGAUAAUUAUAAAUUAAAAGAAAUAAAAAUAAGCCACGUAAAAAUGGAAAAUUCACAGAGAGUUUGGAUUCUGUAUAUUGUGUUUUCUUUGAAUUUUUUGACUGUAAAGAAGUACAGAGGCACAUAUCAUUGUGUGGGCUGCUAAGAUAAACCAGGACGUAUAUUAUAAAGCUAUCUUGACUUCAGAAUUUGGAUCUAAGAAUAUGAUGCUUUGGAAAAGAUGUUCUUUUUUUUUGUUUUCACAGAGGAUGAGACCCUGUGGAUUGCUUCUAUCCCAAUAUAGUAUGAUAGACCACGCCCUCCUGAAAGGUUGUUGUGAACACCCUGAAAAAAUUACUUUGCUCAACUGCUGACUGAGAUGAACCUGGCAUACAGGUUACACCAUGAAAGACCUGAUUAACAGCGCCCUAUACAGCAGGAAGCAGUUUGGAGAGAAAUAACUGUGUCCAUAUUCCCAAAUAUUGUUUAUAAAUGUUCUUUUAUAUUUAAAGGGGGAUAUGAUAUAGAUAUGAAUAAUUUGCAUUGGUAUGGAUUUUAAGGUCAAUCUUGUUAUAUGUAUAUGUAUUUCUGCUCUUGAUUAAGGUAUUGUGAUUGUGUAGUUCAUUUAAAAAUGUAAUGUUUAAUUAGGAAAUAUAGGUUGUUAAUGGAUAAUCAUCGGUAAUAGUUAGGCUUGUAGUCAUGUUAGUUAGACUUUCUAGGUGUGCAUAGAUAUAUUUCAUAUAGGCAUUCUUCAUAUCUUUCAAAGACUACAGAAUAUGGUAUUUAAUGUUUUAAAAAUUUAGGGCUUUUCAUGACUAUGAGACACGUCUGCUCCUGGCAGCACCAAUCUACUUCAAGAGGAAGAUGGGCAUCGAAGAGGCUCCUUACGGAGUUGGUUAGCCAUUUGGGCAAGAAACUGUUCUUGUCUGGACUGUUGCAUAAACUGGACACAGAGAACCCACAGAGAGAGGACUGCUGAACUUGCCUAAAGGAGACCAGUUCUAUGGCUGGUGUUGCGACUGUGAUGACAACAGAGUGAAUGGAGGACUGGCAGCAAGGCUGGCUGUUGUCCUGAAGACCGCUAGCAGGGGCAGCAAGGCUGGCUGUUGUCCUGAAGACCGCUAGCAGGGGGCGCGCGAGUGAAGAGACUCCGCACUGCAGUCUACCCACAAUUCCCUCUUCCUGCUGAGAAAGUACCUCUCACACCUCCCUGCAACCGGGCCUUGCACCAGCCCAGUUGGUCUGGAUCGCGUCAGUAACCCCUGCACAUUGGUCUAGGUAGUGGCGAGCAUGUGGCUCAGGUCAAAGUGAGCUGAGGGGAGGCAACAUGGCCAAGAGGCAUCCGAUUGGUCAUUUUGGCAGCUCCAUUGAAAAUGGACGCACAAAGAGGCAGGAGGAAACUGGGGGCUUUACCGGUACUUAUUUCAUUAGACACUCUAGCCUUUUGGCAUCCAUGUUCUCAAUUUUCCCACCUACCUCCUAACCUUGGUCCAUGCUACUCACUCUUAAUGUGGGAUUCCCCUCUGUAUGCUGUGGAUACCAUUGGUGAAUAAAGAAACUGCUUUGGACAGAACUUAGCUAGGCAGGGAAAACUAAACUGAAUGCUGGGAGAAAGAAGGCAGAGUCAAAGAGAAGCCAUGGUGAUAGACAAACUGAAACCUUGCCAGUAGGCCACAAGCCUUGUAGUAAAAUAUAAAAUAAUGGAUAUGGGUUAAUUCUAGAUGUAAGAGCUAGCUAACAAUAUGUUUAAGUAAUUGGCCAAGCAGUGUAUUAAUUAAUA